Molecule: ribosomal RNA, 465 nt
Filed under: Triticum aestivum (bread wheat)
Lineage: Eukaryota; Viridiplantae; Streptophyta; Magnoliopsida; Poales; Poaceae
Description: partial small subunit ribosomal RNA
Source: RNAcentral
AUGCAUGAUACUAGCUAUGAUACUAGCAUUACAACCAGCCUGACUUGCGACAUCUCGCCGCACAAAGAACUCCAGUCCGGUCACCAGGCAGAGGCAGCCCACAGAGCGCAGCGCACGCACGCCUUCGGCCCCGUUGACGCUCCUCUCGACGCGGCCUUUCACGACGGACGUACGGUUGAAACUUUCUUCCAAGCGGUGUCCAAUCUCAACCAGCCGGCCUCCCCCAGCAUCUCCCUGGCACCACCAUGCGCCAUCGCAUGCCGCCGCACGCCGUCUGGCGCUCGCUGCUCGCCAGCUCCACAACCCUGUCUUCUCCCAUCCAGUGUGGCUCACGACCUGUUACGGAAACGACGCUUGCCGGCUCCAUGCAGGCCAUGCUCGGGGCAGCCACUAGCACAACACCAGCUCCCCUGUUCUGUUUCCUCUCAUGCGGCUGUAGAUAGACACGCUCGGGUGCAAGUGUAA